Molecule: long non-coding RNA, 609 nt
Organism: Mastomys coucha (southern multimammate mouse)
Lineage: Eukaryota; Metazoa; Chordata; Mammalia; Rodentia; Muridae
Exons: 2
Source: RefSeq, a predicted model, not a curated record
AUGAGCUUCUGCCAGCUCCGCAGCAGCCUCUUGGCCCGCUUGGCCAGCUCCUCAUUCUUGGUUUUCUUGCGGACAUCAUUGAUGAGCUUCCCUAGUCGUGUCUCCUACAACCAAGAGAGUGACAUAUUUAUAGAGGGCCAGCUUCUUGGAUAUAGCUUGGGGUAUGAUAUGACCUGCCACACUGGGUAACAUGGAAAAACAGUCUGCAACCCUACUGACUGUUCAUGAGGAACAGCCCAGCUCCAGCACUUGGGGGGAGGUGUCAGCUAACCCCCAGGAGGUUGUUCCAUGUGACAUACCACAAGCAACCCAGUGACCAGAAGCUUGACCUUCAGGUUUCCUGCUGCUGCCCUGAUCUAUGCUGGCUGAAUCCUUUCAUGUUUUGAUUGUCUGUCACCUACCCACUGCCUAGGGACCAAAGAGCUGCCUCCUUACUGGAGGUUCUUGGGGAGGAUCCAUACUAAUAAAGAUACCAACAGAAUUCAAGUCCAGGUCCCUAUUAUCUUACUGGCUGUCACCUAAAAUGCUGCUUCUAGCGUCAGGAGUACAUUAUGUCCCUGGGUUCCCAGCCCUCUACCUACAAUACAAGCCUUAGAAUCCUGAUCAUAU